CCACUCUAACUGAACUUCAUCUAAAAUAGGAAUUCUAUCUCAAUACUAAAUCUUACUCCAAAUAGGAAUAUCUCCAAUACCUAUAUAAGGAGUUCAAACCUUCACAGUUAGGUAUGUUGUUAUGUCUAAUCAAUUCUAUACUUUUCUCAAUUCGUAAGCCCAAGCGAACCUAACCAGUGUUUUCUCUCUUGUCUUACAAGUCUAUACCCGUAUGCAGGAAAUUUGAGAGAAUGACUAGGAUUAGUUUCAGGUCCAUUGCAAUUGGUAACCAUUCCAAAGUCAUCUUCGAGAGAAUGACUGUAGCCUGUAGCAACAAGUGGAACAUUUUGGCUGGGAUUGGAUACAAAUUUGAGCCAUGGACUAGCCACAAGUUUCCCCUGCUGAUGAUCCUAAUGAAGAUCCUGCUGCAUUGUUGGGCUCAUUUUUGCAAAGCCCACCACGCUUUGACAAAAGAGCACAACAAUAUCUAUUUUACUUGCUGAUGGCCUCUACUGGAAAACAAGGAUCCACAUUCUAACAGCACUUUUCUAUACUCUCCCGCACUUGAUCAUUUCAAAGAAUCAA
Molecule: unclassified non-coding RNA, 564 nt
Filed under: Hevea brasiliensis (rubber tree)
Lineage: Eukaryota; Viridiplantae; Streptophyta; Magnoliopsida; Malpighiales; Euphorbiaceae
Source: RNAcentral